GGCUGGUCCGAAUGCAGUGGCGUUUACAACUAAUUGAUCACAACCAGUUACAGAUUCCCUUGUUCCUUCUCCACUUGACUAGGAAA
This 86-nucleotide small RNA is filed under the name Propithecus coquereli (Coquerel's sifaka). RNAcentral describes it as "Y RNA (ENSPCOG00000007713.1)". Lineage: Eukaryota; Metazoa; Chordata; Mammalia; Primates; Indriidae. The record is from RNAcentral.